This 497-nucleotide ribosomal RNA is filed under the name uncultured bacterium. RNAcentral describes it as "partial 16S ribosomal RNA". It matches the Rfam family "Bacterial small subunit ribosomal RNA", at positions 28 to 507 of the family's 1533-position model. The record is from RNAcentral.
GAUGAACGCUGGCGGCGUGCCUAAUACAUGCAAGUCGAGCGAACGGACGAGAAGCUUGCUUCUCUGAUGUUAGCGGCGGACGGGUGAGUAACACGUGGAUAACCUACCUAUGAGACUGGGAUAACUUCGGGAAACCGGAGCUAAUACCGGAUAAUAUUUUGAACCGCAUGGUUCAAAAGUGAAAGACGGUCUUGCUGUCACUUAUAGAUGGAUCCGCGCUGCAUUAGCUAGUUGGUAAGGUAACGGCUUACCAAGGCAACGAUGCAUAGCCGACCUGAGAGGGUGAUCGGCCACACUGGAACUGAGACACGGUCCAGACUCCUACGGGAGGCAGCAGUAGGGAAUCUUCCGCAAUGGGCGAAAGCCUGACGGAGCAACGCCGCGUGAGUGAUGAAGGUCUUCGGAUCGUAAAACUCUGUUAUUAGGGAAGAACAUAUGUGUAAGUAACUGUGCACAUCUUGACGGUACCUAAUCAGAAAGCCACGGCUAACUACGUG